UGAUAUUCUCUUCUCUCAAAAUCCUCAUCUUCAUUCUUUUUUUCUUUCAGAUUCUUAAUCUCUUGUAUUUGUUUCUUCUUAUGAAGAACUUCAAAAGAAACUGGAAUUUGCUAAUCAGUGAAUCUGACUGAAAUUUUGGAGAGGUAUUUUUUUCAUUCUUCUCUUGGUUCAAAGAUUACAAGUUUUUAAAAAAAAUUAUGUUUAUGGUUUAAAUAUUCUUCGUUGCUAGGAUCAGGAACUUCAAAAAUUAUAUAAGGAGAUGACGUUCAUACAAAAAUGGAGGAAGAAUAGAAAUCUUAAGGAAUAUUGAUUAGUGGAGAAUUCUACAAUGCACAAGAAGGAUCUCCAUAUUUAUUUUCAUGGAAUAUUUUGUUCAAUCAUUUUCAUGGAAAAAUUUGUUCAAGGAAUAUUUUCUCCCUUUUAAUUUAUCUUCUUGUUUCUUUUGAGUCAUGUAAAUUUUUUCUUUGUAAAAUUUUAUUUUCAAAAGGAAAAUAAAAAAUGUUAAUGAAAAAUUAUUGUCUUUAAUUUAUAUAUUGACGAAAAUCAUUUACUGUACA
This 557-nucleotide long non-coding RNA is filed under the name Brassica napus (rape). RNAcentral describes it as "long non-coding RNA (BNAP_LNC007936)". Lineage: Eukaryota; Viridiplantae; Streptophyta; Magnoliopsida; Brassicales; Brassicaceae. The record is from RNAcentral.